This 881-nucleotide ribosomal RNA is filed under the name uncultured Nesterenkonia sp. Its description in RNAcentral is "bacterial SSU rRNA". It matches the Rfam family "Bacterial small subunit ribosomal RNA", at positions 34 to 916 of the family's 1533-position model. Lineage: Bacteria; Bacillati; Actinomycetota; Actinomycetes; Micrococcales; Micrococcaceae. The record is from RNAcentral.
CGCUGGCGGCGUGCUUAACACAUGCAAGUCGAACGAUGAAGCUGCCUGCUUGCAGGUGGUGGAUUAGUGGCGAACGGGUGAGUAUCACGUGAGUAACCUGCCCUUGACUCUGGGAUAAGCCCGGGAAACUGGGUCUAAUACCGGAUAUGACCUCUCAUCGCAUGGUGGGGGGUGGAAAGUUUUUAACGGUCUUGGAUGGGCUCGCGGCCUAUCAGCUUGACGGUGGGGUAGUGGCCUACCGUGGCUUUGACGGGUAGCCGGCCUGAGAGGGUGACCGGCCACACUGGGACUGAGACACGGCCCAGACUCCUACGGGAGGCAGCAGUGGGGAAUAUUGCACAAUGGGCGCAAGCCUGAUGCAGCGACGCCGCGUGCGGGAUGACGGCCUUCGGGUUGUAAACCGCUUUCAGUACAGAAGAAGCCCUUUUUGGGUGACGGUAUGUGCAGAAGAAGCGCCGGCUAACUACGUGCCAGCAGCCGCGGUAAUACGUAGGGCGCGAGCGUUAUCCGGAAUUAUUGGGCGUAAAGAGCUUGUAGGCGGUUUGCCGCGUCUGCUGUGAAAGCCCGGGGCUUAACUCCGGGUGUGCAGUGGGUACGGGCAGGCUAGAGUGCAGUAGGGGAGACUGGAAUUCCUGGUGUAGCGGUGAAAUGCGCAGAUAUCAGGAGGAACACCGAUGGCGAAGGCAGGUCUCUGGGCUGUUACUGACGCUGAGAAGCGAAAGCAUGGGUAGCGAACAGGAUUAGAUACCCUGGUAGUCCAUGCCGUAAACGUUGGGCACUAGGUGUGGGGGACAUUCCACGUUUUCCACGCCGUAGCUAACGCAUUAAGUGCCCCGCCUGGGGAGUACGGCCCCAAGGCUAAAACUCAAAUGAAUUGACGG